This 1346-nucleotide long non-coding RNA is filed under the name Oryzias javanicus (javanese ricefish). RNAcentral describes it as "lncRNA (ENSOJAG00000009459.1)". Lineage: Eukaryota; Metazoa; Chordata; Actinopteri; Beloniformes; Adrianichthyidae. The record is from RNAcentral.
GACACAAGGCCAAUCAAAGUGGCCCUCAGGACCAGCCAUUAGGCUCUCUACAGGAAACACUUUGCGGGGUUAUCACACACACACAUCAGACAGGAAUUCAGACUGAAGUCCCUGUAAACACAGGCACAGACUUACUGCAGAAGUUCCAGUCAAGAAAAAAAAGCCCACAUGGAGCUUGGACUUGUAUUUGACGAAGAGAACUGUGGCACAAUGGACCAACGGUGAGCGUGGACUAUGACACCUUGGACCCUUUGGUCAGACGCGACUCGUAUCAGGACAUGUCUGGUCUUCAAACAGGUUUUCCCCACUUCCCAGAACCUGGAAAUGGAAGUUUGCGCCGCCGGCUGAGGAAGAAGAGUAGAGAGGAGGGAGCUUUCCAGUCGUCUAGCCCCAGCAGUCCGGGCCGCAGUGACCGAGCUCCAUCAGCUAGCAGCGACUCGGGUCUGUCUGUAGCCUCGCAGGGACUGAGUGGGGCCCGACAGAGAGGCGAGGCCACACAGGACAAGGGCACCCUCUCAGGGAAGCUGAUCUUCAGGGCAGACCCGGAUCCUGCACAGGCUCUCAUGGAGGUCAUGGCACAGCUAGCUUUAUCCAGCGGAGCAGAGGCGGGCGUGACCAUUAACGGAAAGUCUUCAAGUGAGAGAGAGACAGAUAUACUGGAUGAUGAGGACGAAGCAGAACACGCUGUGGACGGGCCAAGCUCCGGCAGUGGUUGUUCCCUCUCGUCCGAAAAGCUAACCGAGAACUCUACUGGUCGUUGGGUACGUCAGCACCUGGCACCGAGUGCCAGCGAUUGCUUACCCGAAAAGGAUAAAGAAAGAACAACAAAGACCAACAAGCAGCGGCCUCCACAUCUGUUCGGCCCUCACACGCCUCCCCAAGGACUCAGCAGCAGGGAGGUGGUGCACACAGUGUCAGUGGACGGGUUCAAAGAUCAUACACUCACCACCUCACUGGGUCAAGAAGAAGAGUUGGCGGCACUAACUUCAGAUGUCGAUGAGUCCAUAGAGCAGCUGAAUCAGCUGAUUUUGGACUUGGAUCCCACUUUCGUUCCCGUCCCUACCUCCCUGUCCCCCUUGUCACGCACCACCUCCCUACAGAGCAACGGUCUCAGCCACAAAGGAAGCAGCCACCGAUCAGGAUGGAGGCAACAAAAGCAGAUCACUGAUGUGACUGACUACGCUGGGCCUCACAGUCCUCGAUGGAGCCCUGGAGUUCAGAGCCUUAGAGGUUCUGCAGCCAGCAAUCUGCCCUCUCAUCACAGGUAAAUGCCACUCCCCUUUUAUCCCCACCAGCAGUUGAAAACACAUCGUGGAUUGUCAAAUUUCUCCAAAGAAAACAUUUUU